This 226-nucleotide long non-coding RNA is filed under the name Phoenix dactylifera (date palm). RNAcentral describes it as "long non-coding RNA (PDAC_LNC008749)". Lineage: Eukaryota; Viridiplantae; Streptophyta; Magnoliopsida; Arecales; Arecaceae. The record is from RNAcentral.
AUACUUCUAACAAUGUUCCCUAGCACACUUGGAAGGGAAUGAAGAAGUAGAGCCAACAAGAUUAUUUGGCACACCUACUGGGCAUUACAUUCUCUAGUGAGACCUUGUGUAGUCAUCAUUACAUUCUUUGGUGGGACCUUGCAUAGUCAUCAUCAUACUAGUUCUAGUGGGAUAACUAUGUGGUCGGCAUUAAAGAACUAAGGAGACAUUGGAUGCUUACCGGAUG